GACGAACGCUGGCGGCGUGCUUAACACAUGCAAGUCGAACGGAAAGGCACUGCUUUUGUGGGGUGCUCGAGUGGCGAACGGGUGAGUAACACGUGAGUAACCUGCCCUUGACUUUGGGAUAACUUCAGGAAACUGGGGCUAAUACCGGAUAGGAGCUCCUGCUGCAUGGUGGGGGUUGGAAAGUUUCGGCGGUUGGGGAUGGACUGGCGGGUUAUCAGCUUGUUGGUGGGGGAGUGGCUUACCAAGGCAGUGACGGGUAGCCGGCCUGAGAGGGUGGCCGGCCACAUUGGGACUGAGGUACGGCCCAGACUCCUACGGGAGGCAGCAGUGGGGAAUAUUGCACAAUGGUCGGAAGCCUGAUGCAGCAACGCUGCGUGCGGGAUGACGGCCUUCGGGUUGUAAACCGCUUUCGCCUGUGACGAAGCGUGAGUGACGGUAAUGGGUAAAGAAGCACCGGCUAACUACGUG
Molecule: ribosomal RNA, 468 nt
Filed under: uncultured bacterium
Lineage: Bacteria
Description: partial 16S ribosomal RNA
Rfam family: Bacterial small subunit ribosomal RNA
Source: RNAcentral